RNAcentral lists this ribosomal RNA (253 nucleotides) under uncultured bacterium. Its description in RNAcentral is "partial 16S ribosomal RNA". It matches the Rfam family "Bacterial small subunit ribosomal RNA", at positions 524 to 776 of the family's 1533-position model. The record is from RNAcentral.
GACAGAGGGUGCAAACGUUGUUCGGAAUUACUGGGCGUAAAGCGCGUGUAGGCGGCUAUGUAAGUCGGGCGUGAAAUCCCACGGCUCAACCGUGGAAGUGCACUCGAAACUGCAUAGCUAGAGUCCUGGAGAGGAAGGUGGAAUGCGUGGUGUAGAGGUGAAAUUCGUAGAUAUCAAGCGGAACACCGGUGGCGAAGGCGGCCUUCUGGACAGUGACUGACGCUGAGACGCGAAAGCGUGGGGAGCAAACAGG